UGGCCCCUGAACAAUCAGACAAAACGGGCAAAACAAGAAGAACUCCCUGACGAAGAGACAUGGAUCACACGAAAAAUCCGUGUUUUUGCCAAAACUGAUGAUUUCGAGAGGGCAUUAAGGUGGAGUAAAAAUGCUGAAUUGAAUUCCUCUGUAGAAAGCGACACUGACAUUAACUUCAAGAGGCCAACCAGAAAACCAAGCAGAUUCCAAGACAGCAGCGAUGAUGAGUGGGGAAGAGCCACCUGAAUGCCUAGCUUAAAGAGAAAGCUUAAAGAUGAACCCUUUCCUUGCCUCAAGGCAUCAACUGUAAGAAAAAGGCCAGACAAAGGUAUAAUAUUUUUUCAAUACUCACCUACUAGGCAAAUAUCAUUGUACAAAGUGCUUAA
Long non-coding RNA from Sinocyclocheilus grahami, 386 nucleotides. RefSeq lists it as uncharacterized. The transcript has 4 exons. The record is from RefSeq and is a predicted model, not a curated record. NCBI's taxonomy places the organism in Eukaryota, Metazoa, Chordata, Actinopteri, Cypriniformes, Cyprinidae.